RNAcentral lists this ribosomal RNA (379 nucleotides) under uncultured eukaryote. RNAcentral's name for it is "partial 18S ribosomal RNA". It matches the Rfam family "Eukaryotic small subunit ribosomal RNA", at positions 592 to 976 of the family's 1831-position model. The record is from RNAcentral.
CAAUAGCGUAUAUUAAAGUUGUUGCGGUAAAAAAGCUCGUAGUUGGAUUUCUGUUGAGAGCGACCGGUCCAUACCAUGUAUGCGUAUCUGGCUUGCUCUCGGCAUCCUCUCGAUAGACGUUACUGCGCUUGAUUGCGUGGUGCGGAUCUCGGGACUUUUACUUUGAGGAAAUUAGAGUGUUCACGGCAGGCUUUCGCCAGAAUACAUUAGCAUGGAAUAAUACUAUAGGAUCUUGGUUCCAUUUUGUUGGUUUCUAGAAUUGAGAUAAUGAUUAAUAGGGACAAUUGGGGGCAUUCGUAUCAACACGUCAGAGGUGGAAUUCUUGGAUUGUGUUGCGACGAACUACUGCGAAAGCAUUUGCCAAGGAUGUUUUCAUUGA